RNAcentral lists this ribosomal RNA (478 nucleotides) under uncultured bacterium. RNAcentral's name for it is "partial 16S ribosomal RNA". It matches the Rfam family "Bacterial small subunit ribosomal RNA", at positions 28 to 523 of the family's 1533-position model. The record is from RNAcentral.
GACGAACGCUGGCGGCGUGCUUAACACAUGCAAGUCGAACGGUAAGGCCCUUCGGGGUACACGAGUGGCGAACGGGUGAGUAACACGUGGGUGAUCUGCCCUGCACUUCGGGAUAAGCUUGGGAAACUGGGUCUAAUACCGGAUAGGACCACUGCCUGCAUGGGUGGUGGUGGAAAGCUUUUGCGGUGUGGGAUGGGCCCGCGGCCUAUCAGCUUGUUGGUGGGGUGAUGGCCUACCAAGGCGACGACGGGUAGCCGGCCUGAGAGGGUGACCGGCCACACUGGGACUGAGAUACGGCCCAGACUCCUACGGGAGGCAGCAGUGGGGAACAUUGCACAAUGGGCGCAAGCCUGAUGCAGCGACGCCGCGUGAGGGAUGACGGCCUUCGGGUUGUAAACCUCUUUCAGCACCGACGAAGCGCAAGUGACGGUAGGUGCAGAAGAAGGACCGGCCAACUACGUGCCAGCAGCCGCCGUAA